RNAcentral lists this ribosomal RNA (465 nucleotides) under uncultured bacterium. Its description in RNAcentral is "partial 16S ribosomal RNA". It matches the Rfam family "Bacterial small subunit ribosomal RNA", at positions 28 to 507 of the family's 1533-position model. The record is from RNAcentral.
GACGAACGCUGGCGGCGUGCUUAACACAUGCAAGUCGAACGGAAAGGCCCUGCUUGCAGGGUACUCGAGUGGCGAACGGGUGAGUAACACGUGGGUGGUCUGCCCUGCACUUCGGGAUAAGCCUGGGAAACUGGGUCUAAUACCGGAUAGGAGCCAUUUUUAGUGUGAUGGUUGGAAAGUUUUUUCGGUGUAGGAUGAGCUCGCGGCGUAUCAGCUUGUUGGUGGGGUAAUGGCCUACCAAGGCGGCGACGGGUAGCCGGCCUGAGAGGGUGGACGGCCACAUUGGGACUUACAGACGGCCCAGACUCCGACGGGAGGCAGCAGUGGGGAAGAUUGCACAAUGGGCGCAAGCCUGAUGCAGCGAGGCCGCGGGGGGGAUGACGGCCUUCGGGUUGUAAACUCCUUUCGCUAGGGACGAAGCUUUUUGUGACGGUACCUAGAUAAGAAGCACCGGCUAACUACGUG